Molecule: long non-coding RNA, 458 nt
Filed under: Musa acuminata (dwarf banana)
Lineage: Eukaryota; Viridiplantae; Streptophyta; Magnoliopsida; Zingiberales; Musaceae
Description: long non-coding RNA (MACU_LNC000260)
Source: RNAcentral
AUUCGCCAACUUCUCCCAGCUACAGCCCGACCUCUCCCAGUUAUAGCCCUACAUCUCCUACUUAUAGUCCUACUUCCCCCAGUUACAGCCCAACUUCCCCCAGUUACAGUCCUACUUCGCCAAGCUACAGCCCUACUUCUCCAGUUUACAGUCCGACUUCCCCAGCCUACAGUCCAACAUCUCCUGCCUACAGCCCAACCUCACCAUCCUAUAGUCCAACAUCACCUUCCUAUAGUCCGACAUCACCUUCAUAUAGCCCAACAUCACCUUCAUAUAGCCCGACUUCACCAUCAUACAGUCCUACCUCACCUGCCUAUAGCCCAACUUCUCCGGGAUACAGUCCAACAUCUCCUAGCUAUAGUCCUACAUCCCCAAGUUAUAGCCCCACAUCUCCAAGUUACAAUCCUGCCUCAGCAAAGUACAGUCCUUCGCUUGCUUAUUCUCCAAGCAGUCCAAGG